Molecule: ribosomal RNA, 253 nt
Filed under: uncultured bacterium
Lineage: Bacteria
Description: partial 16S ribosomal RNA
Rfam family: Bacterial small subunit ribosomal RNA
Source: RNAcentral
UACGAAGGGGGCUAGCGUUGCUCGGAAUCACUGGGCGUAAAGGGUGCGUAGGCGGGUCUUUAAGUCAGACGUGAAAUCCCUCGGCUUAACCGGGGAACUGCGUCUGAUACUGGAUGGCUUGAGUUCGGGAGAGGGAUGCGGAAUUCCAGGUGUAGCGGUGAAAUGCGUAGAUAUCUGGAGGAACACCGGUGGCGAAGGCGGCAUCCUGGACCGACACUGACGCUGAGGAGCGAAAGCCAGGGGAGCAAACGGG